This 738-nucleotide ribosomal RNA is filed under the name Triticum aestivum (bread wheat). Its description in RNAcentral is "partial small subunit ribosomal RNA". Lineage: Eukaryota; Viridiplantae; Streptophyta; Magnoliopsida; Poales; Poaceae. The record is from RNAcentral.
AUGCAUGAGGAUUUGGAGGGAUCGGUGCAUCUAGGAGGCGAUAGUUUUAGAAUCAAGUGUGAUGUGGCCGUGAAGAAGAUCCAUAACGAAGAGACACAUGCAAAUCAGUUUGUUGUGGUUCCUCCAAGCAACUUGCAUCACCAUUUCGGUGAGCUCCUGAAAAGUAAGGAUGGAGCAGACGUGGCCUUUCGAGUUGGUGGCCAGGUAUUCGAGGAUCAUAGGUCCGUGCUCGCUGCUCGUUCGCCGGUCUUCAAGGCAGAGCUCUUUGGUACCAUGAGGGAGAGAUCUGGUGAUCCUAUUGAAAUUGAUGAUAUAGAAGCAGGUGUGUUCAAGUCCUUGCUCCAUUUCAUCUACACGGACUCACUCCCUGAGACGACUCAUGAAGGAACCGAUGAAGGCGCAACGCACGAAGAUAUAGCAACAACUGGCCAUCUACUUGUAGCGGCAGAUAGAUACGACAUUGCGAGGCUCAAGCUGAUAUGUGAGGAGAUAUUGUGCAAUCACAUUGACUCCAGCAUGGUUGCAACUAGUUUGGUUUUGGCUGAGCAGCAUAAUUACCAUGGACUCAAGGAGGCUUGCUUUGAGUUCCUUGCUUCUCCGUCCAAUUUGGAAGCGAUGAUCGUAAGUGAUGGUUACCAACAUCUAAAAAGUAGUUGCCCAUCUCUUCUGCGAGAGCUGAUUGCUAGACUCUUGCCUGUUGAGCUGACAGCAGGCAAGGAUAUUAUCAGGGACAUUUAG